Molecule: ribosomal RNA, 465 nt
Filed under: Vreelandella stevensii
Lineage: Bacteria; Pseudomonadati; Pseudomonadota; Gammaproteobacteria; Oceanospirillales; Halomonadaceae
Description: partial 16S ribosomal RNA
Rfam family: Bacterial small subunit ribosomal RNA
Source: RNAcentral
CCUACGGGUGGCUGCAGUGGGGAAUAUUGGACAAUGGGGGCAACCCUGAUCCAGCCAUGCCGCGUGUGUGAAGAAGGCCCUCGGGUUGUAAAGCACUUUCAGUGAGGAAGAACGCCUGGUGGUUAAUACCCAUCAGGAAAGACAUCACUCACAGAAGAAGCACCGGCUAACUCCGUGCCAGCAGCCGCGGUAAUACAGAGGGUGCGAGCGUUAAUCGGAAUUACUGGGCGUAAAGCGCGCGUAGGUGGCUUGAUAAGCCGGUUGUGAAAGCCCCGGGCUCAACCUGGGAACGGCAUCCGGAACUGUCAAGCUAGAGUGCAGGAGAGGAAGGUAGAAUUCCCGGUGUAGCGGUGAAAUGCGUAGAGAUCGGGAGGAAUACCAGUGGCGAAGGCGGCCUUCUGGACUGACACUGACACUGAGGUGCGAAAGCGUGGGUAGCAAACAGGAUUAGAUACCCCAGUAGUC